RNAcentral lists this long non-coding RNA (620 nucleotides) under Calidris pygmaea (Spoon-billed sandpiper). Its description in RNAcentral is "lncRNA (ENSCPGG00000012896.1)". The record is from RNAcentral. Lineage: Eukaryota; Metazoa; Chordata; Aves; Charadriiformes; Scolopacidae.
UGGAAAAGCCUUGCUCUUUCUCACACAGCAGAACCCAUCAGCCUGGGGAGAGAUUGUUUCCCUCUGAUCCAGUUAGAGGAGAAAGGCAGGGAUCUCUCACAAGGUGAGCAGUAGCAGGAUGGCUUUUUGAUGUUUCUCUUCUAGGAAAGCCAUGUCUUUUCUCCAUGGCAGAAGGGCACCAGAUCUUCCUGUUACAUGUGCCGCUUGGCCCGACAGCGGGGACAUCACUGCCCUCGAGGACAUCGAUGCCCUUGGGGACAUCACUGCCCAGCCCAGGAUGGUGUCUGGGCUGCUCCCUCGGGAAGGCGGUUUGGGAAAAGGCAGGAACAGGUCGGGAACCAGCAGAACCGGCUGUGUGCUGGGUUCCUGUCUGUGCAGACACGGCAGUCCUACGGCUCUCACUGGGGUCUCCCCUGUUUCCAGUGCUGUCGAGCAGCUCUCAGAUCUGUGAUAAUUUAAUUAACCUGCCCUGUUCUGCCGCGGCUGUCAGAGCAGGGGAAAAGGAUCCAGGCACCCGGGGAGUUCCUUCUUUGCCUGAGCACAUACGUCUCCUACGCAAAAGUCACAGAAGAGCAAUUCCCCCACCAGGAAAGCUCAUUGUGGGUUUUUUGAAAACAUAG